Marmota flaviventris (yellow-bellied marmot) is the source of this 385-nucleotide long non-coding RNA. RefSeq lists it as uncharacterized. Lineage: Eukaryota; Metazoa; Chordata; Mammalia; Rodentia; Sciuridae. The record is from RefSeq and is a predicted model, not a curated record.
UGUUCCUGUAUUAUCUCCCCAGGCCAGAAGCUGCUGUCCUCCUCCUCCAUCACUGCUCUCCCUAUCAACCUUCCACUGCUUUGUUCAGGCCUCUUCAUGCCUACCAAUCCUCCAAGCCAGCAGAUGCCUAAGGUCAGCGGAGCCAUCACAGGACCCAAAGAAAAAGCUUUUUCCUUAAGACUGGAAUGAGAUAAGGGUAUCUCCUAUCACUCCUUCAAGUCAACAUUAUAUUGAAGAUCUUACCAGUGCAACAAGAAAAACAAAAUGAGGUAAAGAUUAUCAUAAAUGUUAUUAACAAAACAAACAGACACAACAAACUAUAUACAAGGGAAGAUUGAUUAUAUUGACAGAUUCAUCAACAAUAAAAGCUGGAUGAAUUAAGGUA